AGGGAAUCUUCGGCAAUGGACGGAAGUCUGACCGAGCAACGCCGCGUGAGUGAAGAAGGUUUUCGGAUCGUAAAGCUCUGUUGUAAGAGAAGAACGAGUGUGAGAGUGGAAAGUUCACGCUGUGACGGUAUCUUACCAGAAAGGGACGGCUAACUACGUGCCAGCAGCCGCGGUAAUACGUAGGUCCCGAGCGUUGUCCGGAUUUAUUGGGCGUAAAGCGAGCGCAGGCGGUUAGAUAAGUCUGAAGUUAAAGGCUGUGGCUUAACCAUAGUACGCUUUGGAAACUGUUUAACUUGAGUGCAAGAGGGGAGAGUGGAAUUCCAUGUGUAGCGGUGAAAUGCGUAGAGAUUAGGAGGAACACCAGUGGCGAAGGCGGCUUUUUGGCCUGUAACUGACACUGAGGCGCGAAAGCGUGGGGAGCAAACAGGAUUAGAUACCCUGGUAGUCCACGCCGUAAACGAUGAGUGCUAGGUGUUAGACCCUUUCCGGGGUUUAGUGCCGCAGCUAACGCAUUAAGCACUCCGCCUGGGGAGUACGACCGCAAGGUUG
Molecule: ribosomal RNA, 549 nt
Filed under: uncultured bacterium
Lineage: Bacteria
Description: bacterial SSU rRNA
Rfam family: Bacterial small subunit ribosomal RNA
Source: RNAcentral